GUUCUUGUUUCAGCAGCACAUAUACUAAUAUUGGAAUGAUAUAGAGAAGAUUGUCCCUGCACAAGGAUGAUAUGCAAAUUCAUGAAGCAUUCCAUAUUUUU
This is a small nuclear RNA of Monodelphis domestica (gray short-tailed opossum), 101 nucleotides long. The record is from Ensembl. NCBI's taxonomy places the organism in Eukaryota, Metazoa, Chordata, Mammalia, Didelphimorphia, Didelphidae.